This 237-nucleotide long non-coding RNA is filed under the name Phaseolus vulgaris (common bean). RNAcentral describes it as "long non-coding RNA (PVUL_LNC001252)". The record is from RNAcentral. Lineage: Eukaryota; Viridiplantae; Streptophyta; Magnoliopsida; Fabales; Fabaceae.
AAACAUCAUGGCUAAAGUUGACACAGUAGAGUUCAGCUUAAUCCCAGGGUAUUAUAAAUUAUCUAGAUUGAUAAUUUACUAUGGUAUCAAACUUCCCUCAUUUCCAUGGAGAACUAGGUUCUGUUUAGAUUCUUGAUUAGGAAACUGCUGGUUUUACAUGAUGUGUGCUGCAUGUGGGUGAGAAUUGGAAGAUGAGGAAUUGGUGGCAUGUUUGUGAGAAGUGGGACCUCUUAGGUG